UGGGGAAUAUUGCGCAAUGGGCGAAAGCCUGACGCAGCGACGCCGCGUGAGGGAUGAAGGUCUUCGGAUCGUAAACCUCUGUCAGAAGGGAAGAAACUAGGGUGCUCUAAUCAUCAUCCUACUGACGGUACCUUCAAAGGAAGCACCGGCUAACUCCGUGCCAGCAGCCGCGGUAAUACGGAGGGUGCAAGCGUUAAUCGGAAUCACUGGGCGUAAAGCGCACGUAGGCUGUUAUGUAAGUCAGGGGUGAAAUCCCACGGCUCAACCGUGGAACUGCCCUUGAUACUGCACGACUUGAAUCCGGGAGAGGGUGGCGGAAUUCCAGGUGUAGGAGUGAAAUCCGUAGAUAUCUGGAGGAACAUCAGUGGCGAAGGCGGCCACCUGGACCGGUAUUGACGCU
This 400-nucleotide ribosomal RNA is filed under the name uncultured bacterium. RNAcentral describes it as "bacterial SSU rRNA". It matches the Rfam family "Bacterial small subunit ribosomal RNA", at positions 355 to 747 of the family's 1533-position model. The record is from RNAcentral.